RNAcentral lists this non-coding RNA (90 nucleotides) under Arthrobacter rhombi. RNAcentral's name for it is "SAM-I sequence". It matches the Rfam family "SAM riboswitch aptamer (S box leader)". From Rfam's summary of the family: The SAM riboswitch is found upstream of a number of genes which code for proteins involved in methionine or cysteine biosynthesis in Gram-positive bacteria. The SAM riboswitch acts at the level of transcription termination control. The predicted structure consists of a complex stem-loop region followed by a single stem loop terminator region. The record is from Rfam by way of RNAcentral. Lineage: Bacteria; Bacillati; Actinomycetota; Actinomycetes; Micrococcales; Micrococcaceae.
CCACCAUCCAGAGCGGACGAGAGACCUGGCUCGUUGACUCCGCAGCAACCACCCGUUUCGGGCAGGUGCUUCCGCCGGGACCGAUGGAAA